GUGCUUGCUUCAGCAGCACAUAUACUAAAAUUGGAACGAUACGGAGAAGAUUAGCAUGGCCCCUGAGGAAAGAUGACACGAAAAAAAUAUAUAAAAAAUUUUA
Molecule: small nuclear RNA, 103 nt
Organism: Lemur catta (Ring-tailed lemur)
Lineage: Eukaryota; Metazoa; Chordata; Mammalia; Primates; Lemuridae
Source: RefSeq, a predicted model, not a curated record